GUAACGCUUCAAUGUAUGACUCGAGUUAGCGCGGGUUAGUCUCACGUGACAAUAAAGACCACUGAGAUCUGGAGAUCUGAUAUUACACCUCAUCCUUAAUUCACGUAUCCUCCUACACACUAAAGAGUGCGAUAGAUAUUUCCCGCACUGUGAGACCGUGGACAUUUGGCUCAGCUGCGUGAACAAUACUCCAAACAAUGAACCUCCGAACUGAGACACUGGAUCUGUAACUCUCAGCAGCCUUAGUCCUGCUCGCCUCGCCACUGCCGCGUGGUUACGUCAAAACAGCGGGCGGCCGCGUACUAGUUUCCUCAGUACUUGUGCGUCCGUAGCAAUACCGUGUGCUGUAAACAUCUGAACGAACUGAGAUACUCAUUCAGUUUUUUCCGCCUCUCCAUUAUCUCGUGGUGACGUAAAGGUGACGGCCCGUGUGUUAGUUUCCCCGGUAAUUGUGCCUCCGUAACAUUACUGUGUGCAGUGGUCGUGAGAACUGCGAGGCGGCGGUGCAGACUGUGCCCUGGAGAGUCGCAGGGUGUUGGAAUCGCCUCUCAGUCACCUUGAAGGCGUCAUAUUCCCUCCCUGCUCUUCCCCGUGUCUUCCUGUCGAUGUUGCCUCGGCCGCGGACAGCCCCGUGAUGGUCAGCCCUCCAAGUGUGCUCGUCUUAGCAAGGCCUUCCUCUCCCAGACGACCAAAACGGCAAGUUCAUGACCCGGUGCUGCCUCUUCUGCAUGCUGUGGCUGGUGACAGACUACAUGCACGUCUACUCGCUUUGGAUCUUCGACUGCACUGACGUCAUGGCUCUCUACUCUGCCCACGUCUCCUUCGUGUUCCUCCUCUCGUGGGUGAUCCUGCAUGACCAGUUUGUCGGCGUCAGGGUGAGUAGACUGACUGGGCGGGAGGGUGUUGAUGGGCGUCUGUGGUAUGUGAUGUGGUCUGUGCUGCUGCUGUGUUGUGUAUGGAAACUGUUGGUCUUGGUCUUCUCCGUGAGCUGGAGUGACUGUUGUUGGUGUAUCAUGUCUUGAUCACUACUGUUGCUCUUUUCUUUAUGUAUGUGUUU
Scylla paramamosain (green mud crab) is the source of this 1057-nucleotide long non-coding RNA. RefSeq lists it as uncharacterized. The record is from RefSeq and is a predicted model, not a curated record. NCBI's taxonomy places the organism in Eukaryota, Metazoa, Arthropoda, Malacostraca, Decapoda, Portunidae. The transcript has 3 exons.